Molecule: ribosomal RNA, 465 nt
Filed under: Vreelandella stevensii
Lineage: Bacteria; Pseudomonadati; Pseudomonadota; Gammaproteobacteria; Oceanospirillales; Halomonadaceae
Description: partial 16S ribosomal RNA
Rfam family: Bacterial small subunit ribosomal RNA
Source: RNAcentral
CCUACGGGGGGCAGCAGUGGGGAAUAUUGGACAAUGGGGGCAACCCUGAUCCAGCCAUGCCGCGUGUGUGAAGAAGGCCCUCGGGUUGUAAAGCACUUUCAGUGAGGAAGAACGCCUGGUGGUUAAUACCCAUCAGGAAAGACAUCACUCACAGAAGAAGCACCGGCUAACUCCGUGCCAGCAGCCGCGGUAAUACGGAGGGUGCGAGCGUUAAUCGGAAUUACUGGGCGUAAAGCGCGCGUAGGUGGCUUGAUAAGCCGGUUGUGAAAGCCCCGGGCUCAACCUGGGAACGGCAUCCGGAACUGUCAAUCUAGAGUGCAGGAGAGGAAGGUAGAAUUCCCGGUGUAGCGGUGAAAUGCGUAGAGAGCGGGAGGAAUACCAGUGGCGAAGGCGGCCUUCUGGACUGACACUGACACUGAGGUGCGAAAGCGUGGGUAGCAAACAGGAUUAGAUACCCCUGUAGUC